CCUGCCCCAUACACCGGAAUAGCUCCUGGAAACGGGUGGUAAUGCCGGAUGCUCCAGUUGAUCGCAUGGUCUUCUGGGAAAGCUUUCGCGGUAUGGGAUGGGGUCGCGUCCUAUCAGCUUGACGGCGGGGUAACGGCCCACCGUGGCUUCGACGGGUAGCCGGCCUGAGAGGGCGACCGGCCACAUUGGGACUGAGAUACGGCCCAGACUCCUACGGGAGGCAGCAGUGGGGAAUAUUGCACAAUGGGCGCAAGCCUGAUGCAGCGACGCCGCGUGAGGGAUGGAGGCCUUCGGGUUGUAAACCUCUUUUAUCGGGGAGCAAGCGAGAGUGAGUUUACCCGUUGAAUAAGCACCGGCUAACUACGUGCCAGCAGCCGCGGUAAUACGUAGGGUGCAAGCGUUAUCCGGAAUUAUUGGGCGUAAAGGGCUCGUAAGCGGUUCGUCGCGUCCGGUGUGAAAG
This 460-nucleotide ribosomal RNA is filed under the name uncultured Actinomycetes bacterium. RNAcentral's name for it is "bacterial SSU rRNA". It matches the Rfam family "Bacterial small subunit ribosomal RNA", at positions 125 to 600 of the family's 1533-position model. The record is from RNAcentral. Lineage: Bacteria; Bacillati; Actinomycetota; Actinomycetes.